CAGCCGCCGCGGUAAUACGUAGGUGGCAAGCGUUGUCUGGAAUUAUUGGGCGUAAAGGGCUCGCAGGCGGUUUCUUAAGUCUGAUGUGAAAGCCCCCGGCUCAACCGGGGAGGGUCAUUGGAAACUGGGAAACUUGAGUGCAGAAGAGGAGAGUGGAAUUCCACGUGUAGCGGUGAAAUGCGUAGAGAUGUGGAGGAACACCAGUGGCGAAGGCGACUCUCUGGUCUGUAACUGACGCUGAGGAGCGAAAGCGUGGGGAGCGAACAGGAUUAGAUACCCGUGUAGUCCCUGUCUCUUAUAA
RNAcentral lists this ribosomal RNA (301 nucleotides) under uncultured bacterium. RNAcentral describes it as "partial 16S ribosomal RNA". It matches the Rfam family "Bacterial small subunit ribosomal RNA", at positions 509 to 809 of the family's 1533-position model. The record is from RNAcentral.